Rattus norvegicus (Norway rat) is the source of this 6478-nucleotide long non-coding RNA. RefSeq lists it as uncharacterized. The record is from RefSeq and is a predicted model, not a curated record. NCBI's taxonomy places the organism in Eukaryota, Metazoa, Chordata, Mammalia, Rodentia, Muridae.
UUCUCUACAAAAAAAUUACACAAAUAUUACAUUCUUUUAUUUUAUUCUCUCCCUCCCUCUCUCUCUCCGAGUAUGUGUGUGUGUGUGUGUGUGUGUGUCUGUCUGUCUGUCUGUCUGUCUGUCUGUCUGUCUGUGAGUUUGUGUUCCAGGUGCUUGCAUGUGCUUAAGGAGGCCAAGGGGCCCCUGAUUCCCUUGUAUUGGAGUUAUAGUCAGUUAUGAGCCAUCUGAUGGGGGCUCCAGGAACUGAACCCAGGUCCUCUGCAACGUUAGUAAGCAUUCAUAACAACUGAACAAUCUCUCAUCCCCAAAGUGUUUUUUAUGGUCAAUCAAUAUCCAGUAAUAAUUUAGAGUAAUGAAUGUGAUCCCCAUACAUAUCAACACUGUGAAUGACUGACUGACCCCUAAGGAGCGUAGAAAUCCAUUCCUCUUUUUGUAUGAGAAUUGGCACUAAUGUAUGUAUGGCGAUGGUAAGAACUUUACUACUGACUUUGAAAUUAUUUUUACUUAAGACUAGGUGUUGUGUAACAGAUUUCUGGAGAUUGAAACAUUCCAACCUGCAGAGAAACUCCUUAAGCAAGAAGGUAAAAAACUCAAAAAUAGCUUUCAGGAAGUCCCUGAAAUUGACUAGAUUCACUAGGCUCCUCCCUGCCAGUGUAAGUAGUAAACACUGCAAGGAAGACUCUCAGACAAGCAAUGCCUCAAAGAAGACCCUCAGACCAGACCAGUUGCCUGGAAGAGGUUUAGAUCAAUUGAUGGACAUGGGAGAAGAGACUCGUGACCCUGCUGAGCUGCCUGCAGGCCGUGCAAUGUGCUCUGGGCUCCCAGCUUUGUGAGCUGAACCCAUGGGGGGGGGGUGUCCAUUGGUGAUGCAACUGUCUUUGAGUCACUUCUGCUCCUGUGAGUAGCCCCAGUGAAACUCAUUGGUUCACUGUUGGACUCUGGCACUUUCUUCUACUGUGGGUUUUCCAUCUGGGGUGAGUAGACAUGUUUCCUACCUCUCCAGGACAAGUUCUGUCGCACAACAGUAGGUCAUUUAGGUAUUGGGCCCGCAAAUUAUUUUUCUUUUCUUUUUUUCUUUUUCUUUCCUUUCCUUUCUUUCCUUUUUUUUUUUUAACAAAAUUAUUUAUUUGUAUUAUGUGCAUGAGUAUUUUGCCUGCAUGUAUGUCUGUGCACUGCAUCCAUGCUUGCAAAGGCCAAAAGGGUGCAUUAGAUCCCCAAGAGCUGGAAUUACAGAUGUUUGUAAGCAGCCAUCAUGUGGGUGCCAGGAGCUAUGCUUGAGUCCUCUGGAGAAACAGCCAGUGCUCACAACCUCUGAUCCAUCUCCCCGCCUGCUGCAAAUUCUUGUGUACCAAAAAGUUUUUUUAUCAGUGACUAAACACUCUGAGUAACAGUAUACUGUUGAGGCUUGUGGCAUUGUCAGGCACGACUUUAAGUGCGCUAACUAAUUUAGUCCUUACAAACAUUGAUGAAGUCAGUACUAUUACCCCCAGUUAUAUGCCUAUAAAAUAGCAGGCUGUUAUGUAGCCCAAAGCCUUUGUGGACAUUAUUAAAAUAAAUUAAUUACAGGUAGUGGCAGCAAGGAGAUGUUUAAGAAUCUGACCUCUACCAUCAGAUUAAACAGGGUUUAAAUGCUAGGAACCUGACCUCUACCAUCAGACUAAACAGGGUUUAAAUGUCCGCUCCAGCAGUGGGCAACUUAUUUACCUUCAGAUUCUAUUUUCUUUAUCUUUGCAUGACAAAACCCACUAAUACCCCGUCACAUGGGACCACUGGGUAUUAAGUGAUGUAACAGGAGAUCUUCACCAUCAACCCGACUGCAGUAGGAGCCACCCUGCAUAUGCUGGGAGAGGGUGGCAUUUCCAGAAAGGGCUGAGGAAGGAGGGAAGGUCAGUCCUGAAUGUAGCAGGCACUGUUCCAUGGGCAGGGGCCGGGGCCGUCUAAGGAGGAGGGAGCGAGCUGAGCUGCCAUGUUCAUCUCCACCUCCUCCAGUUCCUGCAGCCAUGAUGUGACUACCAUGUCGGACUGUGCCCUCAGCCAAUAGACCAAAACCAACCUUUCUUUCCUUGGGUUGCCUCUGUGAGGUGUUGUCACGGCAGGAAGAGACGGAAUGUGGUGACUUCUCAGCAGUGUGUGCCAGGUGGGGCUGAUAAAUGUUUAUUAUUUAUUCAUUCACAUGGAAUGUUAAACCCUGGUCCAUAACUCUCAAAGUCUGCAUAGUUUGAUGAUUAAGCCAUGCUUGGUUUAUUAAGUAAACGCGAGUAGCUACAACACACCUAUAGGUUCCUAUGUUUCAGUUUGCUAAGGGCACUUCCUCAUGUUUCUGUUUAUAACGCCAUCUUAUUUUCUGUAUUCUUUUAGAAAUGGUUACAUUUUAGUAUAUGUAUAUAUGUAUGUGUGUGCCUAUGUACGUGUGCAUGCGCAUACCUGUGCAUGCCAUUGCACAUGUGUGGAGCUCAGACACUAUCUUGCAGGAGUUGGUCCUCUCCUUCCAGCAGACGGGUUUCAGGGAACAAACUGGAGGCAUGGAUGCUAGCAUUCUGUCUAAGCUCCACCCCCACAGUUACCUGGCAACCUAGGUAUGACUGACACUAUAAAGGAGCCUGCUAGCCUCCUCCCCUCCCCCUCCCCCUCUCUGUCCCCUCUCUCCCUCUAUUCCCUUCCCCACUUCUCACCACCUGCCCACGGCCAGCCUGUACUCUUCUCUCUCUCUCUCUCUCUCUCUCUCUCUCUCUCUCUCUCUCUCUCUCUUUCUCUUUCCCCCUGUGCCCCUACUACUCUCUUCAGUCCCCUCCCCAUUCCCUGAAUAAACUCUAUUCUAUACUAUAGGUCCUGUGGCUGGUCCCUCAGUGGGAAAGAAUACCUCAGCAUGGGCCUGCUGCUGUACCCCCUUCUCCCAGACCCCCAUAGAACAUAAUCCCCCCCUCUUUAUCCUUUUAUUAACACAACAUUGGUGCCCAAACCGGGGAUGAAUCCUCCCUUUAUCUUUUAUAAACACCUCCAUGGGGAUUGGCUGCAAGUACCCACUGGGCCAUUCCACUGGCCCUCGUUUUCUGCAUUCUUGAUGUUCUGGAAUCUAGAACUUCGCUAAUCCUUCGGGGAAUACUCGCUCAGAACUAGCUGGCUCCAAGAGAAAGAACAAACACUUGCCAGACAACACCUCCUUCAAAUGCCAGACAGCUAGCCAGCUCUGAGAGCACGUCCUCGGUUGCCUUUUAUUUUCUCUGAUUUUUUGAGGCAAGGUCUGGCUAUGUUGCUGGGACUGGUCUCAGACUCCCUGGCUCAGCUAAUCCUUCUACCUUAGCCUCACAAGUGUCUUUGGGCACGUGCCACCAUGCCUGGUGUCAAUCUGUUCUUUCUGUGGUUGUUGUUUUGUUUUUUUCAUAUAAGGCUCCCUGCCCUAGUCAUCCUAGAACCCAGGACCACGCAGAACCCAGCUAAAUGAUUCAACUGGCCAAUCAUAAGCCUGCCCACUACUGCCUUGCGUGUCCAUUCCCACAAGGAAGCACAGCAGAGGCUGUGUCAGGGAUUUUCUUGAGGCUUUUGAUCCUGACCUAUUCAGGUGCUUCCUUUGUGGCCCCAUGUGCCGAGGUGCGGCCCUUCCUCAGGAGAAUGGUAACUUCGGUGGCAAUCACGUCCCGAUCACACUAGUAUUAAAGCAAACAAAGCCUCCCGAGCCAGCUUCAGAACACGGUGGCCUCAUUUUGCAUGUUAGAAGCAGCCGGUUGAAAAGUCACUUUGCGUAACAAUGAAGUCAAACACUAUGAAACCCAAGGAGAAUAACAAUAGGUCUGCAGCUAGGUCCCUUCUUAUUGGUACAACUGUCAACCUCUCCCUCCCCCUCAUCUUCCCUUGCUAUUUCACUGGAAAGGUUAACACAUGGGCGUUAGGCCUGCCAUCAGAAAGAGGAAGCUGUUCUGUGGCCUGCAUUUUGCACUGAACAAUCAAAGCAAUUGUGAUUCUCUACACAGACAGAAAGCCCUCUAGCUAUUGAGGCAGAAAGGAACUUAACCUGGGAAAUUAAGCACUUUGCAAACUUUCUGAGGAGGAGGAGGCCUUAGGCUGGCCAACCAGGAAUGACUCCCUGAACAACACUGCAAAACUGGUCUGCCAAGGCUUUCUCUGCUGCAAUCCAGAAACUGGGGAAUCUAGAUUCCAACUGUUGGCCCAAGUAUCAUAUUACUCUGAGACUCAGAGGCACAAUGACAACUGCUGGCACCAGGAAUCAGGCUCCCUAGCAACGACGGGAGGAUGAGAAACCGAAGCCAGAGCAAUGGCUCCAGUGUUAUGACACACAUUCUAGGUCCACUUAAAUAAGCUUUAGGUUUAUUUAUUUAUUGCUCUCCAUUUACUAUAGCGCUGAGCUCAAACACAUGUUACCCUUGCUGCUUUAGCUUCUAGCUCCUGGGCCACUGUAACUUGCAUCAUGAGAAAGAGGAAGAAGCUAUGUCAAAGAAGACACUUUAGUGUAUUUACCACCAAAGUAUGCUGCAGAUCUGUUCACUGGCGAGUCUAGAUUUUUUCCCCUUUUAGUUGUAGGAACCUUGGGUUUAAUGAAUUCACUUGCUAUUUCACAGCCAGCUAUCUACCCAGUGGCACUGAUGUCCCUAAUUUGUAGACUAAGUUAUUUGUCACCUCUUUAUCUUACCCCUCGGCUCUGUUAGAACCUACGUAUCAUUCUGGAUUCCUCUUUGCAGCUUGCAGGAAGACUACUCUUGCAAGCCUCCUUGGGAGACUAGAUUGCAACCAACGAGAGAGGAGUGAGCGUGCCGUAUCUGUUUCUGGUACUCAGUCCUCAGGUGUCCUGGGCAGUGUCCACACAGAUCCCUGACUCCCAUGGAAUUCUGAGGUACAGUGUUCUAAAUUCUGAUGUAGCAAAGUGUCCAGGCCACAGUCACUGCCUGGGAAAGAGCCGCCCAAGGGAGCUGCAGGACAUGGAUCAAAAAGUGAAGGAGCUUGAAGGAGGAAGAGGAGGCAGAUGUUCUGCGUACAGGUAUCUGUGCGCCACUUGUUUGCCUGCUGCCUAUGGAAGACAGAAGAAGGGGUCAGAUCCCGUGAAACUGGAGAUGGCUGUGAGCCUCCAUGGGCAAUGCUAGGAACCCAGGUCCUCUGAAAGAUCAGCCAGUGUUCCAGACCACUGAGCCACCUCUCCAGUCUCAAUCAGUUGAGGAACGAGCUGCAGCAACGGAUGCACGACAGACGACUGGGAGGACAUGAACACACAUGAUGAGCACAGGGGCUCCACAGCACCGGGCAUUAAGAUGGCUUCCUGUCUGUCUGUCUGUUCGCCUGUCUGUUUCUUACCCACUAUUCUCACCCCAGGUCAAAGGACAAGAAGAGAAAUGAAAGACAUUAUCUAGGAUAGCCCAUCUCCAGUCCUUUAAAGAACAGUAGUGAAUAAACCAAGGGAUGGGACAGAUUGCUAGUCUCACGCCGAGCGGCGGCCCGUUAUUUGGAGAAGCACUUUGCUGAAGGCCUCGGAUCUGUUACAACUGCAACAGGUGCAGCCCCAGGUUGCCUCUCUAGGAGGCAAAAAAGCCAUCUGUCGACGUCUACACUUACUCAAAAUAAUCCGGUCCAGAUCAAGGCAACUUGCAAGUAUCAGUUUUCCCUUACAAACAUUGUUAUCUGGAUGCUUCUAGCACAUAUACCUGGAAAUCCCCUUCAUACAUUAAAUAUUUAAAAUGGAACAGGGGCAAGACAGCAGAAGACACAGUGAUGACAAUGUGCUUUGGUAGUGGAGGAGGUAAUGAAGCCGCACUUUCUAAAAAUGAGACGCCACGUGGGAGAAAACGAAGGCACACCUGAGACACAGCCGCCUGACAGCUGCACUCUCAUAAGGUUUAGGUUGAGUUGAGCCUCCUCACUGAUAUUAAAUUGAUUUAACAGAUGGGUGACUUUUAGCCCUAGAUAGUGGUUAUCUGCUCAUAAAUGCAACUCGUGUUUGGUGUGUAGCUAAUCUCAGUUAAAGGUUUCAUCUGGUCACGUGUAAGAUUACUCCACGAGGCACACACGUAAAGUGGGGUUUAAAUUUACAUUUCCCCUUCCGCGUACAUGUCCAAACCACACUUUCAAUUUCACCCUCUAAACUGCACAUAGUACAUCGCAAGCUAAAAAGAAAUAUUGUGGACAAAUCGUUUCUCUCCUUAUUAAUUUUUCCCAGUGCAGAAGAUCAAACCCGGGGCCUUGCUUAUGCUGGGUGAGGGCUCUGCUUUUACACCACAGCCCUAGGCAGUUUGUGUGUUUUAAAUCCAUGCAAAAAAAAACCUAAAAAAACCCCAAAAAGGACAUGCAUGGCACGUACUCACUUAUAAGUGGAUAUUAGCCAUAAAAUACAGGACAACCAUGCUAUACUCCACAGACUCAGAGAAGCUAAACAAGAAGGGAGGUCCAAGCAAGGAUGCUGAGUCUCACUUAGAAGGGGGAACAAAAUGGUUGUAGGAGGAAAAUGGAGGAAGGGAACUAGGAGGGAGAGAGUAUG